This 465-nucleotide ribosomal RNA is filed under the name uncultured bacterium. RNAcentral's name for it is "bacterial SSU rRNA". It matches the Rfam family "Bacterial small subunit ribosomal RNA", at positions 338 to 795 of the family's 1533-position model. The record is from RNAcentral.
CCUACGGGAGGCAGCAGUAGGGAAUCUUGGGCAAUGGGCGAAAGCCUGACCCAGCGAUGCCGCGUGUGCGAAGAAGGCCUUAGGGUUGUAAAGCACUUUCAGUCGUGAAGAAAAGCUACGAUUUAAUAUGUCGUGGUCUUGACGUUAGCGACAGAAGAAGUACCGGCUAACUCCGUGCCAGCAGCCGCGGUAAUACGGAGGGUACGAACGUUAAUCGGAAUUACUGGGCGUAAAGCGCGCGUAGGCGGUUUGAUAAGUGGGAUGUGAAAGCCCCGGGCUCAACCUGGGAACUGCAUUCCAAACUGUCAAACUAGAGUGUGGUAGAGGGCGGUAGAAUUUCCUGUGUAGCGGUGAAAUGCGUAGAUAUAGGAAGGAAUACCGAUGGCGAAGGCAGCCGCCUGGACCAACACUGACGCUGAGGUGCGAAAGCGUGGGGAGCAAACAGGAUUAGAUACCCCAGUAGUC